GACGAACGCUGGCGGCGUGCUUAACACAUGCAAGUCGAACGGAAAGGCCCUGCUUUUGUGGGGUGCUCGAGUGGCGAACGGGUGAGUAACACGUGAGUAACCUGCCCUUGACUUUGGGAUAACUUCAGGAAACUGGGGCUAAUACCGGAUAGGAGCUCCUGCUGCAUGGUGGGGGUUGGAAAGUUUCGGCGGUUGGGGAUGGACUCGCGGCUUAUCAGCUUGUUGGUGGGGUAGUGGCUUACCAAGGCUUUGACGGGUAGCCGGCCUGAGAGGGUGACCGGCCACAUUGGGACUGAGAGACGGCCCAGACUCCUACGGGAGGCAGCAGUGGGGAGUAUUGCACAAUGGGAGGAAGCCUGAUGCAGCAACGCCGCGUGCGGGAUGACGGCCUUCGGGUUGUAAACCGCUUUCGCCUGUGACGAAGCGUGAGUGACGGUAAUGGGUAAAGAAGCACCGGCUAACUACGUG
RNAcentral lists this ribosomal RNA (468 nucleotides) under uncultured bacterium. Its description in RNAcentral is "partial 16S ribosomal RNA". It matches the Rfam family "Bacterial small subunit ribosomal RNA", at positions 28 to 507 of the family's 1533-position model. The record is from RNAcentral.